AACUUUCUUCCUUUACGCUUAAUAAACCUAACGUUCUCAAUUUAGGUCCACAUGCGAAAUAUUACGUUUUCCAUACUUAGAUUAUUAUUACAUAAUCAAUAUCGCCUUGAUAUUAUAACGUUACGUAUUUCUCGGAAGUUCAAAAAUAAUUCCCGAGCAGAAAUCGAUGAAUAGUGUUUUUCAGAAAAUUUCUCGGAAAGCUUUU
This 205-nucleotide long non-coding RNA is filed under the name Panax ginseng (ginseng). RNAcentral's name for it is "long non-coding RNA (PGIN_LNC013809)". Lineage: Eukaryota; Viridiplantae; Streptophyta; Magnoliopsida; Apiales; Araliaceae. The record is from RNAcentral.